This 702-nucleotide long non-coding RNA is filed under the name Physcomitrium patens. Its description in RNAcentral is "long non-coding RNA (PPAT_LNC010516)". Lineage: Eukaryota; Viridiplantae; Streptophyta; Bryopsida; Funariales; Funariaceae. The record is from RNAcentral.
AAUAUUGCCCAAGUGAAUUCAAAUAUUAAAAAGUAGCUAAAUAAUGAGUAAAAAUUUUAGAUUAAUUUCUUUUUUGUGCUAAGAUGCAUCUAACUCCUAAUUCUAAUUUUAAAUCCAAAUAUCUUCUUACUAAAAUACCUAUAAUUUAUUUAUUAAUAACUAAAUUUAGGAAAAAUUUAUCUCAUUGAGCAUAAUUUAAGCUAUAAAAUUUAAAUUAUCAAAGUCAAUAAAUAAAAUUUUGAAAAAAUAAGAGCCAAACCAAAGAAAAAAUUGGUUGCUUGGUAUAGCCACAAUCUUCAAAACUUCUAUUUAUAAAUUAGCUUAGAUCUCCCUUAUCACAAUUCAUUUUUUUUAAUAUGCAAUGAUUUAUUGGAAAGCUAACAAUAAGAUCUUGAAUUCUACAAAAUCUCAAUACAAAAAGACAAAAACUUAGUAAAACGUAUAAAAAAUCUUGAACCAAUCUUAAAUUCUAUUGCCUAAAAAUUCUAUCAAUUUUUCUUACAAAUUUGCUUAAAUCUUCUUUGUCAUAGCUCUAUUUUUUUGUAUCCUAAGACUCAUUGAAAAGCUAACAACAAGAUCUAAUUUUUCUAAAAAUCUUACUAAAAAAAGAUAAAAAUUCAAGAAAUAGCAUAGAAAACCUUGAACUAGACUUGAAUCUCAUUGCUCAAAAAUUUUAGCAACCCUCUGCCUACAAAUUUGCAU